RNAcentral lists this ribosomal RNA (497 nucleotides) under uncultured bacterium. RNAcentral describes it as "partial 16S ribosomal RNA". It matches the Rfam family "Bacterial small subunit ribosomal RNA", at positions 28 to 507 of the family's 1533-position model. The record is from RNAcentral.
GAUGAACGCUGGCGGCGUGCCUAAUACAUGCAAGUAGAACGCUGAAGGAAGGAGCUUGCUCUUUCCGGAUGAGUUGCGAACGGGUGAGUAACGCGUAGGUAACCUGCCUGGUAGCGGGGGAUAACUAUUGGAAACGACAGCUAAUACCGCAUAACAGUAGAUGUUGCAUGAUAUCUACUUAAAAGGUGCAAUUGCACCACUACCAGAUGGACCUGCGUUGUAUUAGCUAGUUGGUGAGGUAACGGCUCACCAAGGCGACGAUACAUAGCCGACCUGAGAGGGUGAUCGGCCACACUGGGACUGAGACACGGCCCAGACUCCUACGGGAGGCAGCAGUAGGGAAUCUUCGGCAAUGGACGGAAGUCUGACCGAGCAACGCCGCGUGAGUGAAGAAGGUUUUCGGAUCGUAAAGCUCUGUUGUAAGAGAAGAACGAGUGUGAGAGUGGAAAGUUCACACUGUGACGGUAUCUUACCAGAAAGGGACGGCUAACUACGUG